UUGCAAAACAACAAAAGGUUUAAUGCAGGAUGAAAAUUCAGUUCAACUUAAGAAAGCCCCUUUAACAAUCCAAAAAAUUAAUAAUACAGAGAUUUUAUGUAUCUAUUGUUUUUCAAUAUCAAUAGCAUGAAUUUUUCUCACUUCUUGCCAAAAAUUGUAAAUAUUUUUUGAGCAGGUGAUUUCUCAUACACUGGUAAAAAUCUGCUACAUCAAGCUCUGAAUUAUUUAAAUCAUCUCAGAAACCAUCUUGGAUCAUUUUACGAAAACCACUUCCAACUUGAAAAAUACCCAAGAAUAUUUUGAGGAAGCUUGCAAAAAAACAACUAGGACAUAUUCUGUAAGGAUGGAAUUUGUGAAUGGCGCCACCUAUUGUCACAGAGAGGUUACCAUUCCUGAUUAGGAUAAAAAAAAACGAAGAGGAGUGAAGGUUUGAGAGGAAAGAACAAGAAUAUGAGAAAUUCAUGAACAAGUAUACUGAAAAGGAAGAAGGAAUCCAUUGCAAGAAUUAAGCAGAUACCUAAAAAUAUCUUCGCAAGUGCUGGAAAACGAGAUGAAAACAUGGAAAUAAUGGCUGCUAGCAAAUAAUGCUUUGUUAUACCAGGAGAGUAUGCAUAAUGAGUUGAUAAGAUAUGAUGCUAAAAGCUACUACUUAGGAGUUAUAAGCUGAAAUAUUGUACUACUACAGCUUGGCAUGUGUUGAUGAUAUGAACGAAGCUGCACAACCAAGGGUACAUGGGCCACACUAGAAGACUGACGGGCAACGAACUAUACCAAGUGUACUCAUGAGAAAUGAAAUCGGGAUACUGAGCAACGGGUGAACUGCAAAGCCUGUAGAAACAAAAUUGCAACAUACGAAUAAUACCUGGCAACUGCAGAAACCAGCUCAAACACCAAUGCCCACUGCAACAGCAGGACAGACCACCUGAAAAUGAAGGGUAAAAAUGGUUUGUGCACUGUCAGAAUAAUCAGAGUGAUCUACUCCCUUGCUUUUUUGCUACUCGCACUUCAAAUUCAUAGCUGCUUCGCCUCUUCAAUUGUAACACCUCCAAGCUCAAAGAUAGCGACCGAAGGCUACCCCGUCUCAUUUGAAUGCACGGUGGCUGAGGUACCGCCAGGUGUCAACGUCUCUUGGAUGCAAGAUGAUCAGGAGAUAACUAAUGAAAAAAUAAUAUCUGAUGCAUUUAAAGACCGGUUUGAAAUUGAAAUCACAGAGGCAGCUAAAACAUACACUUACAGGUUAGUCUUAAACAGAGUGAAACGCGAAGAUAGUGGUUUUUCUUAUAAGUGUCAAAUCAAUGACGUGCCUAAGAUAACAUCUAAAUCUGUUCAAAUUGAUGUGCGUCAAGUUCCGGGUAAAGAAUAUCCAAAGUGUAUUCAACCAGUAGACAAUAUCAAAGAGGGUGACAUGGUAGAACUCGAAUGUCAAUCAGAGCAUGUAAAACCAUUACCAAAUUUAGAAUGGCAAUACAAUGGUAAAAAGGUAUCUUCUGACCAAUUAAACAGUUCCGAUUCAAUUAGCAUUAAACAUGUUUUUCAAGUUACUAAGGACCGAGUGUACAAUUACACUUUCAGUUGCGUUUUACAACAAGUGGUUGUCGGACCAGAACGAACAUGUUCCAUUGGUCCUCUCCGGAUCUUAUAUAAACCCGAAGUUGAUAUAAUUGGAGAUACUAUAAUAGAGACUAACAAAGAACAUGUAUUUAUUUGUAAUAGUCCAACAUAUCCAACGCCUAAGCAGUAUAAGUGGACAUUUAACCCACCGUUAUCGCAUGAACAAUACAGGACUGAGAGUGAGGACAUGGUCUUACGAAUAAAACACCUCACUCAGAAGAAUGACGGUACUACUAUUACGUGUGAGGUACAGAACAGUGCCGGCUGGGGUGUAAAAGACAAAAAGAUUCAAGUAAUAGUUGACCCAAAUACAUUUAAUCCCACCCUUGAACCUAUCCCAGACAAGCCAAAACCAGAUCAAUCAGCCGCACCGAAUACAUACGGUGAUAUGACAACUGCCAUGAUCUUGUCUAUUGCAGGAUGCAGCCUGCUUGUUUUGUCGCUUCUUGCUGCUACCCUUCUCUGUUACUUCUAUAUGUGUGUGAGAAAGCGUUAUCUUCAUGGAUCUGGUUAUAAGAUUGCGCAACCAGACGUAUAUUCAGAGCCACGAGAUAACCUCCCUGCACCAGUUCAUACAAUGGAACGUGUUCCGCCAUGGAUGCAAAGGACUGUGGGAAUUCAAGUUCGUGCUGAUUUACCGUUAGAAAUGGGGGAAGUUUACACGGGAAUCAAUAAAAGCAUUGAGCAGACUAAAAAGGAAGAGUAUAUAAAACCAGCUAGUCGAUCAGUAUAGCGUGCACUUGGUAAAUAUAUGGCCUGGAACACGCACACACCAGAAGGACAAAAUACAGAGAAGUAUGAAUGGGUACCUGGAGGGGUUGCCUGCUCCUGCGUUGUUUAGCAGCAGCAUCACUUAAAUCAUGUGGACCCAAUGACCAGGGAAAAGAACUGUGCUUUAUACCCUCAAAGAAGAGGCGCAUUAUAAAUGCCUGUACCAGUUACCAGUACCAGCUACCAGCCGAAGCGGAAGUGAAGAGACAAAGUACAAAACAAGUCAGUUUUUGCUGACUCUACAGAUCAAACAUCGAUGACACUAUUUACUGAGUGUUUUAUUGGCAAGAAAACAUUUCUCAACUAACUUUUAAUAAAAAAUAUUUACUUAUUUCUG
Molecule: unclassified non-coding RNA, 2719 nt
Filed under: Anneissia japonica
Lineage: Eukaryota; Metazoa; Echinodermata; Crinoidea; Comatulida; Comatulidae
Description: hemicentin-2-like, transcript variant X1
Source: RNAcentral